GGUGGCCCAGUGGCAGAGCGCUUGCCUUGCAUGCAUGAGGCUCUGGGUUCAAUUCCUCAGCACCA
Molecule: non-coding RNA, 65 nt
Organism: Dipodomys ordii (Ord's kangaroo rat)
Lineage: Eukaryota; Metazoa; Chordata; Mammalia; Rodentia; Heteromyidae
Source: Rfam